RNAcentral lists this ribosomal RNA (254 nucleotides) under uncultured bacterium. RNAcentral's name for it is "partial 16S ribosomal RNA". It matches the Rfam family "Bacterial small subunit ribosomal RNA", at positions 524 to 776 of the family's 1533-position model. The record is from RNAcentral. RNAcentral also lists the same sequence under 2 other names.
GACGUAGGGGGCGAGCGUUGUCCGGAUUUACUGGGCGUAAAGAGCGCGUAGGCGGCCUAUUAAGUCAGGUGUGAAAUCUCCAGGGCUCAACCCGGAAACUGCACUUGAUACUGUUAGGCUGGAGUGUCGGAGAGGUGAUUGGAAUUCCUGGUGUAGCGGUGACAUGCAUUGAUAUCAGGAGGAACACCCAUGGCGAAGGCAGAUCACUGGCCGACAACUGACGCUGAGGCGCGAAAGCGUGGGUAGCAAACAGA